RNAcentral lists this unclassified non-coding RNA (4385 nucleotides) under Neodiprion pinetum (white pine sawfly). RNAcentral's name for it is "stress response protein nst1, transcript variant X2". The record is from RNAcentral. Lineage: Eukaryota; Metazoa; Arthropoda; Insecta; Hymenoptera; Diprionidae.
GCCCUCCGGCCACCGCCCCAGAUAUACCGAAAACCGCCCUUACGCCCUGCGCCUUUCAUCUGGCCGCCAGAUCCGAGCCAAAACUGGCAAUUCGAUCGCGCCUCCUUGACGUUAGCGGAGUUCGAAGACUUGAGAGCCGGGAAGCGGAAGGAUAGACGAAAAAGAGAAAAAACAUACACAUCGCAAUAGUAUAUAACGGGAAUAGCACAAGCGCAUGUACAUACGCAACAACGUUUAUCGUCAAAUAUCAAAAAACAAUCAAAAAACAAUUAAAAAAUACACACACAUACAUACAUACAUACAUACACAUAUAUAUACGGAAGAGAAGAUCGAUUAUUGUUGGGGAAAAGAAAGAAUUAGCUUAUAUUGGGUUGGAUUAAUUCUCGAUUCGUGCCUGGAAUUUUUAUACUCUCGAUCGACAUCGCGAAAAUAGUUUCUUUUUUUUUUUUUCAUCCUACUGUCCGACACCUAAAUCUGUACAAAUAUAACAACGCGGCGUGACGAUGCUGAUCGGUCUGGUUCGCGAUUCUGUGCUGCAAUGCUUUUGCCACAGCUGCAAAGCCCCUUUGGGCUUGGUUGCUGCAACACAACGGCGUGGUGCGCCAAUCACAAAGAAGCCUGCCGGCAAAGGGAAACCACGCACGAAACAGCCGAAAAAAGUCAAAUUUAUCACAACUGAGAUUCGAUGCCAGGAGAAGUCUAAGGGCGGCCUAUGCUAUGAAGUGAUUUUGGCCGAGCCGACGGUCCCAAAACGGACUUCCUCACCGCCGCAGCCAAGUCCGACUCAGCAGAUAGCGAUAGAAGACAAGCUGAGAGCAGCGGAAGAGAGGCGACUCUCCCUGGAGGCUCACAAAUUGGCUGCUCUCGCAACAAAGCUUGGAAAAAUUGAGGAGGCGUCUCGCAAAAAGGAUGAGCUAAGCGCUGCCUUUAUUUCUCAGACCCGCGAGGCUCUUGAUGCUAAAAUGACAAACACUGAGGAAAAACGAGAGGCUCACAUCGCGGACCUUAAGAGCAAGCUCAAGGAACAUUUGGAGAGUGUGGAAAAAACUCGCCUCAGUUUGGAGCAGCAGACAGAGGAGGUUCGAUGCGCAGUUGAAGAAAAGCUCAAGACUGCCGCAGCUCAGCGUGAUGAAAAUAUUAAGAAGAUGCUUGAUCGCCUGAAGGAACAUGAGGACCAAGUUGUUCGCGUACGGACAGGAAUGUCAGAGCGAGUACAGCAGCUCGAAUCCCAGAUUCAGGGCAAAUUGGAUCAAGCGCGCGAGCGGCGUGAGACAAUAGAGCGCGAGCAGAAGGAAAAGCUGCGUAAUCAUGUAAGUUUAACGGCUGACGAGUUAUUUUUAAUUAAGAUGCAUGUGUACUUGAAAUGUACAUAUAUUACAAGAGAGAUUUUUCGGAAGUGCGUCAAGUAGCCGAGGUCUUUGCGCUGAAGGCACUCGAGGCUAAAGAGCGAGAGCUCGCCAUGAGGCUGACUGCUGCUGAAAUCAACCGGCAGCGAGAGAUUCAGCGUCGUGUUCAGGCCAUUCGCCAGCAUGAGAGACGUGCUGAGAUAGUGAGGCAGAACAAAGCAGCACUUGCUGGACAAGAAUCAAAAACAGGGGAUCAGCCAAGCUCGCCGGUGGAAAAGGAGACUGCCAGCUCUGGUUAAAUUUCCUCUUUCCCUUUCUCAUUUAAUAAUAAAUAUCAUUUUCCAAUGUUCUAUAAAUAUAUUUUGCUAGGGCGUAAUGAUUGUUCCCACCAUGAUGUGUGUAGCGAAUUCGUACUGAUAACCCGCAGAGGAUUUAUUACACGUAAUGAAUGGGGAGGAUGAUUUGUGAUGAUGGUAACGUCAGCUUUCGGCGAUGUUCGAAUCUCAUGACAAAUAUUUACAGACGAUUCGACGAGUUGAUGGGUUACAAUUUCAUUCUUUUUUGAUUCACUUCGCGUUACCUGCUACUGUGUUUCAUUUUUCUCUUCGAAAUUACGCUUUCAUUUUUUCAAUCGUCACCAGUGAUCGCUUGGAUUAUAAUCUUUUUCCAGUACCGAAUUAUUGAGUCGAAGUUGUUCAAAAACAUACCAAGAUGAUUAUCUAGCCAUUCAUAUAAUUUUUAAAUAUAGUCAUUUUCAAUUUCGUGCAUUUUUUAUUUAUUUUACCUUUGGUUGUGUUCUAUUUCGUGAAUUAAAUACGAAAAAUGAAGAGGCCACGUUUACAAUCAGGAAGGACUUCAGUGAAUAUCCUCUACAUAACUUUAUCGCUUUUUACAGAACAAAGUAACGAUAUAAUCGCCUGCGAAAUAUAGAUGGAAUCACUAUUGAUAACCAUUAAAAUAACAGUUUAAUUUUUAUGCUUGUGACAAAAUGAAACUUAUUCACAAAAAGAAAAAAAAAAUCGCGCAUCUAAAUGUAUUUAUAGUUACGUAACAAUUUUACUUUGUUUCCUUUUGUUUCAUUAUAGUUAUAAAGCUUUGAAUUUAAGUUAUCAUAUCAUUAUUAUACUAUUAAUAUUAAGUGUUUUCCUUUCAUAAUUUUCACCUAUUUUGAUACGAAUUUUGUAUUUUUUUCUGCGAAUGAUCGUAAAAAAAAUUUGGAAAAGAAAUGCAAAAUAAGCUGAAGAAAAUUUUUCAAGCGUUCGCAGGAGAUUAAUCGAUAUCAUAGUAUGAAACUGAAGAAAUAAAUCUAUACUUUUAUUAUUAUAAUUUCUUUGUUAUUUAUGUUUAUCCGUUAUUGUUAUUAUUAUUAUCAUCAUCAACAACAAAUAGUGACAACAUAAGUAAUAAAAAAAAAUCACUACUAAUAAAAACUUGAAUAAUAAUAAUAAUAAUAAUAAUAAUAAUAAUUGUAAUGAUGAUACCUAACUGAGGAAUAUUGCUAAAAAGAAUUACCGCUACAAGGAGAUAAUAAAUAACGCGAUAAUAAAACCUGCAUACUGCUGAUGAUUAGACGUGAGAGACUAAAUUUAAAAAACUAAUACAAUAAUUUUACACUGCUGGCUUAAUACUUGAAUAAUGCGUCUAAUAUGGAGAUAAGAGGAAGAAAAGCGCGUGAAAGGAGAGUAUAAAAAUAAAUAAACGAAUAAUAUGAUACGAGGUAUAAAAAAAAGAUACACAAAUCAAUCGCGAGGAUGAUGAUAAGUAUAGUAAAUAAAUUCGUAUGAUGCUUUAUACUAGGCUUGAAACUUGAAACGUUUUGUACUCAAUUAUAAUAAUAUUAGAACGCUGAGAAAAGGGAAAAAAAUUAUGAAAAAAACCAACACUAUAUUAACACAAAUAUACAUAUGGAGUAUAUAUAUAAAAUAUAAUAAUUAUUACAAUAAAUAUAAUGCUUCUGUGAUGACUAAUUCACUAUAUUCUAUCACGUGUUUUACAUAGUUUCUAUAAGCGCAAGAUAAUAAUAAUAAUAAUUCAAUAAAAUUACCCAUUCGGCAGCUUCGCUCAUAUUGGAUGUGUUUCAAAUGUCGUAUUCUGGUGGGCUUUGAAAAAUAUUUCUGAAGUCGAGAAUAAAGAAAGAAGAACAAUUUGAGACCAAAAAACUCUUUGCGAAAUUUGAAAAAAAGUUGGCCGUAUCUUUCAUUACCAAAUCUAAUAGGAGUAAUAGGAUUAUGUCAUAUAAUGAAAUGUCCAGAUUUGAGCCUUGUAGACAAUUAUACACGUUGCAUUGUUUCAUGAAGAGAAAAGAGCUGUUUUUUGUUUCAAGUUGAAGACUAUUCUUAUUGGCUCAUACCCGAUCUCAUGAUCAGCUUUUGAUUUAAAAGCAGCAUGGCCUUUAUUAUGCUGAGGAUUUCCGUUUUACUUGUUCUAAGAUGUCGAGUAAAAGUAGAUUAUUCAACUUUAUGAUGGCUGUGAAUGUGCUGUAUCAAUCUGCUAGGUCGUGAUGGGGAGUUUGAAACACAAAUUCAUGUUUCGGAAUGUCAAAUUUGGGUAUGUUUCUAAUGUAAGAAAUUUUGUUCCAAUUUUUCAAAAUUAUGUCUGACAUCGCAGUUUUGAUUGCAGCCGUUUUAAUUCCAGUGCAUAGAAAGCUGAAUAAUAGAUUCUUCUUGCAUUUUGAUUUGAUGAGGAGAAACAUUGAAUGAUAAGAACCACUGAAAUGAGACAUUUUAGAGAUACCUAAUGUGUAGAAAUAUUCAUCGUCAACGGCAGUUAGAAAAGGGCGAUACGUGCACGCAGCAAGCCAUGAAAUAUUUUUUCCACAUUUAAAAUGUGCUAUGACGCACCUAUAUUCAGGAUGUUUCAUAGCCAAUGAAUAGGAAAAUUCAAAUAAAUAAUGAUAGUGUUUAUUAUUGUUAUCAUUAACGAUGAUCUAACAAUGACGAAAGGCUGAAAUUUUGCAAGGAUAGAAAAGAAAAGGAAUAAUGAUGAAAAAAAAAAAAAAUAGAAAAAAGUAAGAAACCUUCUGAAAAAGUAAGAUCAACG